CCAGAGCACAGGCUGGGCUGGGCUGGGGACUGGAUGGCUCCAUCAGCUCUGUUCCC
This 56-nucleotide microRNA precursor is filed under the name Procavia capensis (Cape rock hyrax). RNAcentral's name for it is "miRNA (ENSPCAG00000019053.1)". Lineage: Eukaryota; Metazoa; Chordata; Mammalia; Hyracoidea; Procaviidae. The record is from RNAcentral.